UGAUCCAGCAAUGCAGCGUGAGUGACGAAGGCCUUAGGGUUGUAAAACUCUUUCAUCGGUGAGGAUAAUGACAGUAGCCGAAGAAGAAGGACCGGCUAAUUCCGUGCCAGCAGCCGCGGUAAUACGGAAGGUCCUAGCGUUGUUCGGAAUUACUGGGCGUAAAGCGCAUGUAGGCGGAACAGAAAGUUAGAAGUGAAAUCCCUGGGCUCAACCUAGGAAUUGCUUUUAAAACUUCUGUUCUGGAAUUCAGGAGAGGAAAAUGGAAUUUCCAGUGUAGAGGUGAAAUUCGUAGAUAUUGGAAGGAACACCAGUGGCGAAGGCGAUUUUCUGGACUGAUAUUGACGCUGAGAUGCGAAGGCAUGGGUAGCAAACGGGAUUAGAUACCCCGGUAGUCCAUGCAGUAAACGAUGGGUGCUAGUCGUCGGACUUUUGUUCGGUGUCGUAGCUAACGCGUUAAGCACCCCGCCUGGGGAGUACGGUCGCAAGAUUAAAACUCAAAUAAAUUGACGGGGACCCGCACAAGCAGUGGAGCAUGUGGUUUAAUUCGACGCAACGCGAAGAACCUUACCAGCGUUUGACAUGGAAAGUACCGGUUACAGAAUGGUAACCUUCAGUUCGGCUGGCUUUCACACAGGUGCUGCAUGGCUGUCGUCAGCUCGUGUCGUGAGAUGUUGGGUUAAGUCCCGCAACGAGCGCAACCCUUAUCGUUAGUUACUAACAGUUCGGCUGAGGACUCUAGCGAAACUGCCGGUGAUAAGCCGGAGGAAGGUGGGGAUGACGUCAAGUCCUCAUGGCCCUUACACGCUGGGCUACACACGUGCUACAAUGGUAACUACAACGGGACGCAAUACCGCGAGGUGGAGCAAAUCCCCAAAA
This 876-nucleotide ribosomal RNA is filed under the name marine metagenome. RNAcentral describes it as "bacterial SSU rRNA". It matches the Rfam family "Bacterial small subunit ribosomal RNA", at positions 384 to 1280 of the family's 1533-position model. The record is from RNAcentral.